ACGGUGCCUGGCUCGCCACCACGAGACGGCGCGAGCGGCAACGGCCGACGUUCAAUGCACGGGGCCUGCCACCUGGGCUCGAGGGAGAUGCGAUAGGCUGCGCGGAUGCUUCCGAAAGCCGCAAGAUCGGCCCACUGGCUCGAACUUCUGCUGGCGCUCGGCGCGCUCACACUGGCGAUCGUGAUCCCGCGCGCGUGCGCCUAGAAGUUCGGUUCCGCACCACUCAGCAGGUAAACCAGACGCUUGUGCUGGGUCCCUCGAGGUGCAUUGCGCGUGGUCGGCGCGUUGGCGAACG
RNAcentral lists this unclassified non-coding RNA (295 nucleotides) under plant metagenome. RNAcentral describes it as "partial contains 5.8S ribosomal RNA, internal transcribed spacer 2, and large subunit ribosomal RNA". The record is from RNAcentral.